GUCCUAAAAAAUACAUAAUCAUCUUAUUUAUAAACUAUCUGCUACAGUGUAACCAGGUAUUUGUAUGCCUAUAGUGUAACCACUAUAGUGUAACCAGGUAUUUGGAUGGCUACAGUGUAACCACAUUUGGAUGUCUACAGUGUAACCAGGUAUUUGGAUGCCUACAGUAUAACCAGAUAUUUGGAUGGCUACAGUGUAACCAGGUAUUUAGAUGCAUACAGUGUAACCAGGUAUUUGGAUGUCUAGUGUAACCAGGUAUUUAGAUGCCUUCAGUGUAACCAGGUAUUUGGAUGUCUACAGUGUAACCAGGCAUUUGUUUGCCUAUAGUGUAACCAGGUAUUUAAAUGGCUACAGUAUAAUCAAGUAUUUGGAUGCCUACAUCUACAGUGUAACCAUGUAUUUGGAUGCCUACAGUGUAACCAGGUAUUUGGAUGCCUAUAGUGUAUAGUGUAACCAGGUAUUUAGAUGCCUUCAGUGUAACCAGGUAUUUGGAUGUCUACAGUGUAACCACAUAUGGAUGUCUACAGUGUAACCAGGUAUUUGGUUGCCUAUAGUGUAACCAGGUAUUCAGAUGGCUACAGUAUAAUCAAGUAUUUGUAUGCCUACAUCUACAGUGUAACCCUGUAUUUGGAUGUCUACAGUGUAACCAGGUAUUUGGAUGUCUACAGUGUAACCAGGUAUUUGGAUGUCUACAGUGUAACCAGGUAUUUGGAUGUCUACAGUGUAACCAGGUAUUUGGAUGUCUACA
Long non-coding RNA from Mytilus californianus (California mussel), 748 nucleotides. RefSeq lists it as uncharacterized. The transcript has 3 exons. NCBI's taxonomy places the organism in Eukaryota, Metazoa, Mollusca, Bivalvia, Mytilida, Mytilidae. The record is from RefSeq and is a predicted model, not a curated record.